GCCGUACCGGUGUGCUCCAGUUCUGUGCGACGUCGGUGGAGGAAGCCGGUGCGAGUCCGGCGCGGUCCCGCCACUGUGACCGGGGGAGCCCCCGAGAGCCAGACACUCCCUGUCGUCGCUGACCCCUG
Molecule: non-coding RNA, 128 nt
Filed under: Pseudonocardia sp.
Lineage: Bacteria; Bacillati; Actinomycetota; Actinomycetes; Pseudonocardiales; Pseudonocardiaceae
Source: RNAcentral